GCGUGGCGCAAUCGGAUAGCGCACUGGACUUCUAAUCCAGGGGUUGUGGGUUCGAGUCCCACCGUG
RNAcentral lists this transfer RNA (66 nucleotides) under Palpitomonas bilix. It matches the Rfam family "tRNA", at positions 6 to 65 of the family's 71-position model. From Rfam's summary of the family: Transfer RNA (tRNA) molecules are approximately 80 nucleotides in length. Their secondary structure includes four short double-helical elements and three loops (D, anti-codon, and T loops). Further hydrogen bonds mediate the characteristic L-shaped molecular structure. tRNAs have two regions of fundamental functional importance: the anti-codon, which is responsible for specific mRNA codon recognition, and the 3' end, to which the tRNAs corresponding amino acid is attached (by aminoacyl-tRNA synthetases). tRNAs cope with the degeneracy of the genetic code in two manners: having more than one tRNA (with a specific anti-codon) for a particular amino acid; and 'wobble' base-pairing, i.e. permitting non-standard base-pairing at the 3rd anti-codon position. The record is from RNAcentral.